Molecule: transfer RNA, 73 nt
Filed under: Stegodyphus mimosarum
Lineage: Eukaryota; Metazoa; Arthropoda; Arachnida; Araneae; Eresidae
Rfam family: tRNA
About the family: Transfer RNA (tRNA) molecules are approximately 80 nucleotides in length. Their secondary structure includes four short double-helical elements and three loops (D, anti-codon, and T loops). Further hydrogen bonds mediate the characteristic L-shaped molecular structure. tRNAs have two regions of fundamental functional importance: the anti-codon, which is responsible for specific mRNA codon recognition, and the 3' end, to which the tRNAs corresponding amino acid is attached (by aminoacyl-tRNA synthetases). tRNAs cope with the degeneracy of the genetic code in two manners: having more than one tRNA (with a specific anti-codon) for a particular amino acid; and 'wobble' base-pairing, i.e. permitting non-standard base-pairing at the 3rd anti-codon position.
Source: Rfam by way of RNAcentral
GCCCUCGUGGUGUAGUGGUCAGCACGCUCGGCGCGUAUUCGAGAGGUCCGUGGUUCGAGUCCCGGCGAGGGCG